GACGAACGCUGGCGGCGUGCCUAAUACAUGCAAGUAGAACGCACAGUUUAUACCGUAGCUUGCUACACCAUAGACUGUGAGUUGCGAACGGGUGAGUAACGCGUAGGUAACCUGCCUGGUAGCGGGGGAUAACUAUUGGAAACGAUAGCUAAUACCGCAUAAUAUUGAUUAUUGCAUGAUAAUUGAUUGAAAGAUGCUAUUGCAUCACUACCAGAUGGACCUGCGUUGUAUUAGCUAGUAGGUGAGGUAACGGCUCACCUAGGCGACGAUACAUAGCCGACCUGAGAGGGUGAUCGGCCACACUGGGACUGGGACACGGCCCAGACUCCUAAGGGAGGCAGCAGUAGGGAAGCUUCGGCAAUGGACGAAAGUCUGACCGAGCAACGCCGCGUGAGUGAAGAAGGUUUUCGGAUCGUAAAGCUCUGUUGUAAGAGAAGAACGGGUGUGAGAGUGGAAAGUUCACACUGUGACGGUAUCUUACCAGAAAGGGACGGCUAACUACGUG
This 505-nucleotide ribosomal RNA is filed under the name uncultured bacterium. Its description in RNAcentral is "partial 16S ribosomal RNA". It matches the Rfam family "Bacterial small subunit ribosomal RNA", at positions 28 to 507 of the family's 1533-position model. The record is from RNAcentral.